UACGGAGGGUGCGAGCGUUGUCCGGAUUUAUUGGGUUUAAAGGGUGCGUAGGCGGCCCGUUAAGUCCGGGGUGAAAGCCCGUUGCUCAACAACGGAACUGCCCUGGAUACUGACGGGCUUGAGUACAGACGAGGUUGGCGGAAUGGACCGAGUAGCGGUGAAAUGCAUAGAUACGGUCCAGAACCCCGAUUGCGAAGGCAGCUGACUAGGCUGUUACUGACGCUGAGGCACGACAGCGUGGGGAGCGAACAGG
This 253-nucleotide ribosomal RNA is filed under the name Hymenobacter rivuli. RNAcentral describes it as "partial 16S ribosomal RNA". It matches the Rfam family "Bacterial small subunit ribosomal RNA", at positions 524 to 776 of the family's 1533-position model. The record is from RNAcentral. RNAcentral also lists the same sequence under 1 other name. Lineage: Bacteria; Pseudomonadati; Bacteroidota; Cytophagia; Cytophagales; Hymenobacteraceae.